AACAAGGCGUACCUGCGGACCUGCGGAAGGAUCAUUAUCGAGUUUUGACUGGGUUGUAGCUGGCCUUUCCGAGGCAUCGUGCACGCCCUGCUCAUCCACUCUACACCUGUGCACUUACUGUGGGUUAUGGAUCGUGUGGAACGAGCUCGUUGACGAGUUUGUGAAGCACGUCUGUGCCUGCGUUUUACCACAAACACUACAAAGUAUUAGAAUGUGUAUUGCGAUGUAACGCGUCUAUAU
This 240-nucleotide unclassified non-coding RNA is filed under the name soil metagenome. RNAcentral describes it as "partial contains 5.8S ribosomal RNA, internal transcribed spacer 2, and large subunit ribosomal RNA". The record is from RNAcentral.